This 253-nucleotide ribosomal RNA is filed under the name uncultured bacterium. Its description in RNAcentral is "partial 16S ribosomal RNA". It matches the Rfam family "Bacterial small subunit ribosomal RNA", at positions 524 to 776 of the family's 1533-position model. The record is from RNAcentral.
UACAUACUGUGCGAACGUUAUUCGGAUUCACUGGGCUUAAAGGGUGCGUAGGUGGCUUGUUAAGUAGGGUGUGAAAGCCCCUGGCUCAACCAGGGAAUGGCACUCUAUACUGGCGAGCUCGAGUGAGAUAGGGGUGUGUGGAACUGCCAGUGGAGCGGUGAAAUGUGUUGAUAUUGGCAGGAACGCCGGUGGCGAAAGCGACACACUGGGUCUCAACUGACACUGAGGCACGAAAGCCAGGGGAGCGAACGGG